Molecule: ribosomal RNA, 305 nt
Filed under: uncultured bacterium
Lineage: Bacteria
Description: bacterial SSU rRNA
Rfam family: Bacterial small subunit ribosomal RNA
Source: RNAcentral
UGUGGCCUAGGGACGCAGCAGUGAGGAAUAUUGGUCAAUGGGCGGAAGCCUGAACCAGCCAAGUCGCGUGAGGGAAUAAGGCCCUACGGGUCGUAAACCUCUUUUGCCGGGGAGCAAGGGCGGGGACGUGUCCCGGCCCGGAGAGUACCCGGAGAAAAAGCAUCGGCUAACUCCGUGCCAGCAGCCGCGGUAAUACGGAGGAUGCGAGCGUUAUCCGGAUUUAUUGGGUUUAAAGGGUGCGUAGGCGGGCUUUUAAGUCAGCGGUAAAAAUUCGGGGCUCAACCCCGUCCGGUCGUUGAAACUGG